RNAcentral lists this long non-coding RNA (2316 nucleotides) under Oreochromis niloticus (Nile tilapia). RNAcentral describes it as "lncRNA (ENSONIG00000035494.1)". Lineage: Eukaryota; Metazoa; Chordata; Actinopteri; Cichliformes; Cichlidae. The record is from RNAcentral.
AUGGCAGACCGUGACAGAAUAAUCCCACCAACCACCAUGGACCCAGCAGACUCAAGAGUUGCCACGGAGGAGGGAUCGCUCACACAGCUGUGGGGUUACUGCCAGAGCGUAACCCAGGCUGUGGAUCCACACAUGAGACACAUACAGGUAGUGUUUUUUGAUAAUUAUCUUUCCUCCACUACCUUCUCUACGAGCUUUCUGGAUAUUGAUAAACUCAUUCAAAUUAUAACUGAGCUGCGGGCAAGCUCCAGCUUCGAACUGUUUGGUUUGGGCUGUCCGGGCAAGGAGGAUGCGGCUGCCUCCCUGGCAGCCCUUGCUGCUUGGUUUUUUCUUCAUAGGUGGAGAGUUUUUCCACCACCGCUUGCUGCUCACCUAUUGGACCCUCCACUGCAGGGAAGACGGCGCCCUGCUCCAUCUCCUCUCGUUCCUUCAGCGUCCUCUGUGUCGGCAGACAAAGGAUCGGCAGCGCUGGUAACCACAGUGAGUAAACCGGACUCUGUCUCCUUACUUAAUCCAGUCUCUCACGAGCAGGAGGGGACAGAUUCCUUUGACGCGGCCCCGCCAUCACGAAAGAGACGGCGUCGGCGUCAUCUUCGUCAAAUCGAAGCUCACCUCACUCCUGUGGUUUCGGAGGAACCAGCUGACUCAGGACUAGCCGCACAAGGAGCCGCAGUGAGUGAGACGGACUCUGAUGUUGGUAAAGACGUUUUUGUUAUGAAACCAGAGAUGGCUUCGUCUAAACCUAGGGACAGUGCCCAGUCAGUUAAUAAUAAAACUGGGCUCGCAAUGGAGGAUAAGCUUAAAGGGUCUGCAUUGCCAGAAAGUGGAGGCGGGCCGGAAGCUAAUUCUGGGUCAUUUCUUAAUGUAAGGAGUAGUGAUGGCUGCUUUUCUGGGGCUGGAUGCGGAGCCUUAGUUUCUGAGCCAGUUAGCUCUGGGACGGUGAACUCUGAAGGCGCUGGUGCGGCAGCUAAAUGGACAGAGGCUGUUAAUUCAGAGUUACUGCACUGUGCUAAUAUGCAUCCUGAAACUGUUUUUGUGGCUGUUGAUUUGUUAAAGGACCCGGUGCUAGAACAUGAACCUGCCACUACAGGCAAUCAGGAGGCUGGGAUUCUCCCCAAGGCCUCCCCAGAGGCCGAACUGGAGACCUCAGUUGCCUCUGGCUCCCUGGACAUUGUAGAGCCCGCGGUAACAUGUUCCUCCUCUCUACCCUUCAUGUUAGCCAUAUCACCCUCGACUCAGUCUGCUGCCCAGCACGUAACUCAGUCUGCUGCCCAGCACAUAACUCAGUCUUUAGUCCAGUCAACCUCUCAUCUUCAUCCUCAGUUGGAGGCCGGUAUGCCUGCUGGACCAACUCUGCCAUCUUUUCACCCGUCUGUUGUUCCUGCAUCGCUGCCCAGUCUACCACGAGUAGCUGCCACACCAUCGUCACCUCCGCCCUCUGCAGCUACUUCUCCACCAGCGUCUCAUCAGACUGCAGCGACCGCAGCACUCUCGGCUUCACCAUCCACAUCACCCGCUCGACCAUCAUCUUCACCGCCUGCAGCUACCGCAUCACCAUCUUCGCCUCCGGAUCAACCAUCUAAGCCCGCGUCGCAGCCGGAGGAGCAGCUCAGCGAGCGGGGGAGCCCGCGUCGCAGCCGGAGGAGCAGCUCAGCGAGCGGGGGGAGCCCGCGUCGCAGCCGGAGGUGCUUGCGCCGCCAGCUGUGGAGCUCAGCAAGCCGGAGGAGCUCGGCGAGCGGGAGGAGCUCGGCGAGCGGGAGGAGCCCGCGUCGCCAGCUGCGGAGCUCAGCAAGCCCGAGCAGGAGCUCGGCGAGCGGGAGGAGCUCAGCGAGCGGGAGGAGCCCGCGUCGCCAGCGGUGGAGCUCAGUGAGCCGGAGGAGCUCAGCGAGCCCGAGCUGGAGCUCAGCGAGUGGGAGGAGCGGCCACCAUCAAGAGAGGGGCUCGGCGGGCCGGAGAAGCGCGCACCGCCAUCGGAGGUCGACGUGCAGGAUGCAUCUUUACAUCCACGCCUUCCACGUCCAGCGCGCCGUCCACGCCGUCCACGUCCAGCGCGCCGUCCACGCCGUCCACGUCCAGCGCGCCGUCCACGCCGUCCACGUCCAGCGCGCCGUCCACGUCCAGCGCGUCGGGAUCCUGGGCCUUUCAACUCUGUCGGCCGCCGGAGCUGCAACACCGCCGCCACCGGACCCGUGGCAGGCCACCGGAGCUGUCACACUGCCGCUACAAGACCCGUGGAGGGCCACCGGAACCGUUUCGCCGUUGCUGCCGGACCCAUGGCCGUCCGCCGGAGGUCCAGCGUUCCCUCCGAUGGACUAG